This 296-nucleotide ribosomal RNA is filed under the name uncultured bacterium. RNAcentral describes it as "partial 16S ribosomal RNA". It matches the Rfam family "Bacterial small subunit ribosomal RNA", at positions 335 to 649 of the family's 1533-position model. The record is from RNAcentral.
UACCUACGGGACGCAGCAGUGGGGGAUAUUGGACAAUGGGGGAAACCCUGAUCCAGCGAUGCCGCGUGAGGGAAGAAGGUUUUCGGAUUGUAAACCUCUGUGGAGGGGGACGAUAAUGACGGUACCCCUUUAGGAAGCCACGGCUAACUACGUGCCAGCAGCCGCGGUAAUACGUAGGUGGCGAGCGUUGUCCGGAAUUACUGGGGGUAAAGGGAGUGUAGGCGGGGAAACAAGUCGGAAGUGAAAACUAGGGGCUUAACCCAUAGCCUGCUUUUGAAACUGUUUUUCUUGAGUGA